GCUUGCUGGAUGCUGACGAGCGGCGGACGGGUGAGUAAUGCAUAGGAAUCUGCCCGGUAGUGGGGGAUAACCUGGGGAAACCCAGGCUAAUACCGCAUACGUCCUACGGGAGAAAGGGGGCUUCGGCUCCCGCUAUCGGAUGAGCCUAUGUCGGAUUAGCUAGUUGGUGAGGUAACGGCUCACCAAGGCCACGAUCCGUAGCUGGUCUGAGAGGAUGAUCAGCCACAUCGGGACUGAGACACGGCCCGAACUCCUACGGGAGGCAGCAGUGGGGAAUAUUGGACAAUGGGGGGAACCCUGAUCCAGCCAUGCCGCGUGUGUGAAGAAGGCCCUCGGGUUGUAAAGCACUUUCAGCGAGGAAGAACGCCUAGCGGUUAAUACCCGCUAGGAAAGACAUCACUCGCAGAAGAAGCACCGGCUAACUCCGUGCCAGCAGCCGCGGUAAUACGGAGGGUGCAAGCGUUAAUCGGAAUUACUGGGCGUAAAGCGCGCGUAGGUGGCUUGAUAAGCCGGUUGUGAAAGCCCCGGGCUCAACCUGGGAACGGCAUCCGGAACUGUCAAGCUAGAGUGCAGGAGAGGAAGGUAGAAUUCCCGGUGUAGCGGUGAAAUGCGUAGAGAUCGGGAGGAAUAC
RNAcentral lists this ribosomal RNA (631 nucleotides) under Vreelandella aquamarina. RNAcentral's name for it is "bacterial SSU rRNA". It matches the Rfam family "Bacterial small subunit ribosomal RNA", at positions 78 to 709 of the family's 1533-position model. The record is from RNAcentral. Lineage: Bacteria; Pseudomonadati; Pseudomonadota; Gammaproteobacteria; Oceanospirillales; Halomonadaceae.